RNAcentral lists this small RNA (148 nucleotides) under Macaca fascicularis (crab-eating macaque). RNAcentral's name for it is "Metazoan signal recognition particle RNA (ENSMFAG00000056839.1)". The record is from Rfam by way of RNAcentral. Lineage: Eukaryota; Metazoa; Chordata; Mammalia; Primates; Cercopithecidae.
GCCAGGUGUGGUGGUGCACAUCUAGAGUCCCAGUUACUUGGGAGGCUGAGACAGGAGGAUCACUUGAGCCUAGGAGUUCAAGGCUUCAUUGAGCCAUGAUCACGUCACUGUACUCUAGCCUGGGCAACAGAGUGAGACCCUGUCUCUA